UACGUAGGGGGCAAGCGUUGUCCGGAUUUAUUGGGCGUAAAGAGCGUGUAGGCGGCCUGACAGGUCUGCUGUGAAAACUCGAGGCUCAACCUCGAGAUGUCGGCGGAAACCGUCUGGCUAGAGUCCGGAAGAGGAGAGUGGAAUUCCUGGUAUAGCGGUGAAAUGCGCAGAUAUCAGGAAGAACACCUAUGGCGAAGGCGGGUCUCUGGGCCGAUACUGACGCUGAGGAGCGAAAGCGUGGGGAGCGAACAGG
Molecule: ribosomal RNA, 253 nt
Filed under: uncultured bacterium
Lineage: Bacteria
Description: partial 16S ribosomal RNA
Rfam family: Bacterial small subunit ribosomal RNA
Source: RNAcentral